GGGUCUGGAUUAUAUCCUCUUCGUCAGGACCUUGGAAGAUAACACCUACUGUCACUGCUGGGGCAGUGCUAAUUGCUGGAACAACACCUGUUUGUCAGGGCCCUGAGAAAGAAGGGCAGAACCCGAGGAAUCAAAACACAUUUGUCAGCAGAAACCACAACAGUAAAGAUAAGGGAGAAAAGCAGCCUGCCUGGGAACAACGAUGAGACCCAAUAGGGAGCAGGAGACCCCAGACCCAAAAAUUACUAUUGGUCUGAACUACCGCGUGAGGGGUGGGAAACUUAAUUUGAAAAAAGCUAUAAUUGCCCAGGGAUUUCUUUGUUUGGGGUCCCUCUUUGGAGGCACCCAACUCGAGCUGUAACUACUGCACGCGUGUCAUUACAAUUUAUUUAUUUAAUUUGCCUUGAUUUGGCUCCAAACUUUUCAGCGGGAACCUAGGGUCGGACCCUGCUCGAGUUGUAAUUACUGCACGCGCAUCGCUAAAAUUUACACCCAGGGUGAAGAGGACCAACGGGACGCCGCUGGAUCCACGGCUGGUGUGGCGGACAGAUGAGUGAACUUUUGCCUUAAACAUUUCUUGGUACAUAAGGUGCAAGCAAACCAUAACCCCGAACAAGCCAUCUGUUCCCAGCAGAAACAGGACUAAGCUGCUGUGACCCCCGAAAUCGUCUCCCUGCGACCACCCAGGACACACCGAGCCUGCGCCGAACCAGGGCACGAUCGGGCAGAGACUUUGGGACCUGGACUGUAAAUUAUUGCCGUUUUUAGCACAACUUCUAUAAAACUUGCUUAGCAUGAGUAGCUAAAUUUGCUGAAGCCUUAGGCCGCACUCCCUAGUUCACUGAGAAAGGGACCCAGAGCUGGUGCAGGCGGGAAUGAUAAGGGAGUUACCAGCAAUUUGCAUUCCUGUGCACUGCUGAAACAGUGCUAAUUGCUGGAGUUACCACCUCUUUGUCAGGACCUUGAGAGAUAAUGGCUGGACCCAAGAAUGGAGACACACCUGUCAGCAGAAACAGCAACAGUAAACGGCCUACCUAAGGAGCAGGAGACCCCAGACUCAAAUAUUACUAUUGGUCUGAACUACCACGUGAGGGGUGGGAAACUUAAUUUGAAAAAGCUAUACUUGCCGAGGGAUUUCUUUGUUUGGGGUCCCUCGUCCCUUGUCGGAGGCGCCCAGCUUGAGCUGUGAUUCGAACGGAGUCAGCGGACCAUCAUUGGCCUCGGAGUGGUGGAGAAAAGGAAAAGGCAGAGAGAAAUAGAAGGCAAGAGACAAUAGCUUGAGGACCAGAUACUUCAGCUGCAGCAUUUCAAGCUGGUUAAAACAAAUGGACCUGGUGCUGUGUGAUUUGAAGUAGCAUGUUACAUUGACUGCAUAGCAAACACUAGAAUGUUUCCUGGAUGGAAAAAAAAGAAAACGGGGGAGUAUCUUGAAUCCUGAGCAUCAGUGCCUUCUAAAAACUUCAGCAGGGUGCCUGUUUUUUCUCAGGAUCCACACCCAAGCUUCAUUUCUUUGUUUCAGAGACAGAGCAGAGAUUAGUCCUUUAAAAUCUGACUGGGGAAAUGGGGAACAGCAGAAGCCAUUUCCUACAAGUUUCUACAGUAGCAUUCCUAGAGAGUAGGGGAAGUCUGUUCAGUUCCUUUCUGUGCAUAAAGGUGUUCAGGCUGACAUCUUCAUUUUCCAGGAGCAUAUGCUUUCCACCAGGUUAUCUGUUGGGAAGAGAGACUCUGUCUUUCUAUUGACUCUGUUUCAUGUUUCAGAAAAGAACUCAAGAUUUGUUAGGCCAGAAAGUGAGAGCAAGUGGGAACACAGCUGUGCAACCUAGAAUGAAUUUACAUGACCAGAUUUAGCUGAGAAGAAAAGAACUUAACCCCUGAGCUGCCACUUUAUUUUUGCACAGCUGACUGAGGUGUAUUUGUGGGAAAGGGUGAUACCUUGAGGUCUAUGGAAGCCUGAAUGUUGAGAAGAGACUGUUUUCUACAGGUGAUAGUAAAAAGGGAAUGUGACAGUACAGCGAUGUUGAUAACUUAUUAAUUUGUCUGUUUUUUUUUUAAUGACUCCAACAAUGUUAGCAUUUUUGUCUUGCUCUCAAAACCAUGCCUCAUUCUCUUUGUAAACAUGAAAUGAGUACUCAAAGUAAAAAUGAAAAUGAAAACAAAUCUAAACUUCUGGCUCCAGGAGGCAGAAAUGUGCACAACUUCUUUUCUUUUCAUUUGAAGUCACUUCUUUAAAAUAUGAUAAGGUGUUUUUGUCCAUUAAAAUGUUUAAAUUCUACAAUUAAAUAUUUAAUCCACUUUGUAAAUGCAUUAGUUGGCGUGGGGUUGGCUAAGCCCUAUCAUGUAACAAAUGUUACAGAUUUGAAUUGUACCUAUGUGAGCUAUGACGUUUUGAUUGAAGUCAUGAUUACAAUCAAGAUAACAGAUUUUUCAACAUAACAGGGCAGUACUUGAGUCCUAUAUCUAUGUAUCAUCAUGUUCUUUAGGCCAAAACAAGUGUAUUAUAUUGGAAAGGUGACAGAAAGCUUUGAUGUGACACAAAUUGUUGUGUCCCAGAUCACAUCAGCAAGCUGGAAAUCUCUGCUUGUUCUGUCCCACAGUCAGUCAUGUUAUGCAAGUCAACAUCUGCCCCUUGACAAACUUUGAGAAGCGGGCUUUCUGUCCCCCUAUACAGCCUCAUCCAGUUGGCAGGGAUCUGCCUGCCACAUUAAUUCAUGUGUACAGCCCUCCUCUGCAUGUAAGGAUUUAUUCAGGAAUUUUUAAGGGCAUCUGUCCCCAAAGCACUUGUUUGUACUACAGCCAUACGAGCAAUCUAUUAUCUCCUUUUUGGCAGGCAUGGG
Molecule: long non-coding RNA, 2834 nt
Organism: Dromaius novaehollandiae (emu)
Lineage: Eukaryota; Metazoa; Chordata; Aves; Casuariiformes; Dromaiidae
Exons: 4
Source: RefSeq, a predicted model, not a curated record